RNAcentral lists this ribosomal RNA (1167 nucleotides) under uncultured bacterium. Its description in RNAcentral is "bacterial SSU rRNA". It matches the Rfam family "Bacterial small subunit ribosomal RNA", at positions 1 to 1174 of the family's 1533-position model. The record is from RNAcentral.
GAAUUCGCCCUUAGAGUUUGAUCCUGGCUCAGGACUAACGCUGGCGACGUGCUUAACACAUGCAAGUUGAACGGGGCACUGCAAGUAGCAAUACGAGCAGUGCUUAGUAGCGGACGGGUGAGUAACGCGUGAGCAACCUACCUUUGUGAGGGGGACAACAGCCGGAAACGGCUGCUAAUACCGCAUAAGGCCACGGUUCCGAUUGGGACUGAGGUAAAAGAUUUAUCGCACAAAGAUGGGCUCGCGUCCCAUUAGCUGGUUGGCGGGGUAACGGCCCACCAAGGCGACGAUGGGUAGCCGACCUGAGAGGGUGAUCGGCCACACUGGAACUGAGACACGGUCCAGACUCCUACGGGAGGCAGCAGUGGGGAAUAUUGGGCAAUGGGCGCAAGCCUGACCCAGCAACGCCGCGUGAGGGAAGAAGGUCUUCGGAUUGUAAACCUCUGUCCUUGGGGACGAAAGAAAUGACGGUACCCAAGGAGGAAGCUCCGGCUAACUACGUGCCAGCAGCCGCGGUAAUACGUAGGGAGCGAGCGUUGUCCGGAAUUACUGGGCGUAAAGGGUGCGUAGGUGGCGCUGCAAGUCAGAUGUGAAAUCCCCGGGCUUAACUCGGGGGGUGCAUUUGAAACUGCGGUGCUUGAGUGCAGGAGAGGAAAGCGGAAUUCCUAGUGUAGCGGUGAAAUGCGUAGAUAUUAGGAAGAACACCAGUGGCGAAGGCGGCUUUCUGGACUGUAACUGACGCUGAUGCACGAAAGCGUGGGGAGCAAACAGGAUUAGAUACCCUGGUAGUCCACGCUGUAAACGAUGGAUACUAGGUGUGGGGGACAUACAACCUCUGUGCCGAAGCAAACGCAUUAAGUAUCCCGCCUGGGGAGUACGGUCGCAAGACUGAAACUCAAAGGAAUUGACGGGGACCCGCACAAGCAGCGGAGCAUGUGGUUUAAUUCGAAGCAACGCGAAGAACCUUACCAAGGCUUGACAUCCCUUGACCGCCAUAGAGAUAUGGCUUCCCUUCGGGGCAAGGAGACAGGUGGUGCAUGGUUGUCGUCAGCUCGUGUCGUGAGAUGUUGGGUUAAGUCCCGCAACGAGCGCAACCCUUAUCAUUAGUUGCCAGCACGUAAAGGUGGGAACUCUAAUGAGACUGCCGGGGAUAACUCGGAGGAAGGU